This is a long non-coding RNA of Vollenhovia emeryi, 283 nucleotides long. RefSeq lists it as uncharacterized. Lineage: Eukaryota; Metazoa; Arthropoda; Insecta; Hymenoptera; Formicidae. The transcript has 3 exons. The record is from RefSeq and is a predicted model, not a curated record.
GAUGAUAAGUAACCUGGCCACAAUUCCAAUCCGCAUUGCGGCAGUACGAUCUGUAUCAACAUGGCGGACCAAUUUAUUUCGAUCAAAAUAAUUGCGACCGACCAACUUCAGCUUCAGAUGCUCGUAACAUUUUCUCAUGAUUAUGUUAAAAAAUUGGAUGUACUGGGCAUCGCCUACUAGUAUAUCGCUGACAAGACGUACGAAAAUACGCUUGAGGAGAUAUCGUAAACGACAUUCAAGAGAUACAUGUUGCAACGUGCAAAGCUGUAUAUCUGCUACCUAC